RNAcentral lists this ribosomal RNA (253 nucleotides) under uncultured bacterium. RNAcentral describes it as "partial 16S ribosomal RNA". It matches the Rfam family "Bacterial small subunit ribosomal RNA", at positions 524 to 776 of the family's 1533-position model. The record is from RNAcentral.
UACAGAGGGUGCAAGCGUUAAUCGGAUUUACUGGGCGUAAAGCGUGCGCAGGCGGCUUUGCAAGACAGAUGUGAAAUCCCCGGGCUCAACCUGGGAACUGCAUUUGUGACUGCAAGGCUAGAGUACGGCAGAGGGGGAUGGAAUUCCGCGUGUAGCAGUGAAAUGCGAAGAUAUGCGGAGGAACACCAAUGGCGAAGGCAAUCCCCUGGGCCUGUACUGACGCUCAUGCACGAAAGCGUGGGGAGCAAACAGG